GAUGAACGCUGGCGGCGUGCCUAAUACAUGCAAGUCGAGCGAACAGACGAGGAGCUUGCUCCUCUGACGUUAGCGGCGGACGGGUGAGUAACACGUGGAUAACCUACCUAUAAGACUGGGAUAACUUCGGGAAACCGGAGCUAAUACCGGAUAAUAUAUUGAACCGCAUGGUUCAAUAGUGAAAGACGGUUUUGCUGUCACUUCUAGAUGGAUCCGCGCCGCAUUAGCUAGUUGGUAAGGUAACGGCUUACCAAGGCAACGAUGCGUAGCCGACCUGAGAGGGUGAUCGGCCACACGGGAACUGAGACACGGUCCAGACUCCUACGGGAGGCAGCAGUAGGGAAUCUUCCGCAAUGGGCGAAAGCUUGACGGAGCAACGCCGCGUGAGUGAUGAAGGUCUUCGGAUCGUAAAACUCUGUUAUUAGGGAAGAACAAAUGUGUAAGUAACUAUGCACGUCUUGACGGUACCUAAUCAGAAAGCCACGGCUAACUACGUG
This 497-nucleotide ribosomal RNA is filed under the name uncultured bacterium. RNAcentral's name for it is "partial 16S ribosomal RNA". It matches the Rfam family "Bacterial small subunit ribosomal RNA", at positions 28 to 507 of the family's 1533-position model. The record is from RNAcentral.